Aegilops tauschii subsp. strangulata is the source of this 1880-nucleotide long non-coding RNA. RefSeq lists it as uncharacterized. NCBI's taxonomy places the organism in Eukaryota, Viridiplantae, Streptophyta, Magnoliopsida, Poales, Poaceae. The record is from RefSeq and is a predicted model, not a curated record.
CCCACGCUAUAUAAACAGAGGUGGGGGCCGGGGCACGACUUACGAGGUUAAUCGCUGCCACAAUCCCCACCUACAAUCCCUACCGAUCUAGGGUUAGCGCAGUGCUCACGGGAAGCUCCACCACCGCCGCCGUCCACUCUCUGUCCACAUCGUUACCGGCCCCUACUUCACCAUGGCCGGCGCUGGAUCGAGCUCGUUUGGACAUGAUCUAACCUAUCCAAUCCAAAGCAAUCUAUCAGCACGCAGUUGCGCGCGGCGACCGCGGGAGGUUUCAGCGAGCGGCCGCAUUGCUGCGGCAGGAGGAGCAGCGCGGGCUUCCGGCGACGAGGCUCCGUCGCGCGAACCAAGACGCGGACUCGACGGGAUUCCGGCGUCAGAAGCAGCGGCUGGGGCCACGCGGCGACUCCGGGACGCCGCUGCCCGAUUCCGGCGCGAAGGCUACGUCGCGCGAAUCACGGCGACCUUGACCAAGAAGGAGGGGUUCGUGCCGCGCGGCGGCCGGUGCUGGUGAGUUUGGGUCGGCACGUCGCGAUGGCGGCGAGCCUGCUCGGCGGCCCACGGUUGGACCUUGGAGCCGCGCGAAGAGAAGGGGAUCCACUCCAAACCCAGCACAGUUCUCUGUGAUGGUGUGGUGUAAAUCAAAGCUACAUGAGGUGAGGUUGAAGUAGCUGUUCUGGCUGCUCGCAGUGCAGUCUUCCCCAAUGCCGAAGGGGUAUGGGAUGGGCACUUCUCCGCACUUGUCAGGGCAGCCUGGCAACGGCAUGGAGCGGUCGGAUGAGGCUCCGGCCGCUGCUGCCAUUGCUGGAAAGGAGAUGCAUACUAUGGAAACUAGCAGGGCUGCUGAUGCUCCUGGCAUGACUGGAUGCCAACAACCCAGUUAAAUCAGUAUGUGGUAUAUAUGCUUGUCUCUAGAAAAGAAAAUUUGCAAGUUGCCAUGUGAUUCAUCUGAGAGAGUCUCCAGCAGUCAGUCAACUAGCACAAGUGGUAUCACUGUAUCAGAGUGUACGUUAACACGCAGGGGAGACUUUGACCGUGAUUGUGUGCUUGCCUUCAUUUCGAAUUGCUGCUUUUGUCAAUGGUUUCACACCCCUCAUCUGAGAUCUUCUAUGGUUCCCAGGAAAUCAGAUGGUUUGGUGUUGGUGGUAACGUGAAGGAGGAUGAAUCAUCGUAGAUUGGCUGGUUGAAGCCUACACAUUAAAAAAAAUCAACAAGGUGAGAACACCACGGUUCCAACCUUUAUGUAUUAAAGAAAAACAAUUAUUUAGCAUACACAUACGCUCUUGUGCUGGAUGGGGACUUUUAUUUAGGUCAGCUGGAUCAUAUCAACAUUCAUGUAUUGAGAAGCAUGAGAAAACCAGGAGGGAGUGGUGAAUUUUCUUGAUUCGACAAUGUGCUGGCUUGCAUUCUCAGAGGCUGGUCAGCUGGAGCAUGACAACACUCAUUGUAUUGACUAUUGAAGAGCAUGAGGAGACGAGAGCAGCGGUGCAGCACGGAGCAGUGCUGACACCUCCGCAGGCUGCGCCUUCUGGGGCCGGUCCUCGAGCUCCGCCUAGGAAAUCCAGUUGUCCGCAUAGUAUGUAUAGUUCCUGAUGAUUGAUUAUUAUUGAUUGGUUGCAAUGGCUAUUGUGUGGUCGAGGCAUUUGGAGGAGAUAAUUUUUGUUGGGGCUUGCCAGGCGCUUGGGUUGGGUUGCUCAUGUACUCUAAGUAGAUCGUUCCUGACAGUAGCAGUUUGCUGUUGUUUGCUAGUUGAAGUAGGAGUUGCUUUUGUAGUAGCAGUUAUAGAUCUAAGUAACCUUGCUGGCCUUGUUGUGCCCGGCAAAACAAUCUACGAAUAUUAUGAAUGAAUGAAUGAAUGAAUGGAUGGAUGGUUUCAUGGUGCA